This 440-nucleotide ribosomal RNA is filed under the name uncultured bacterium. RNAcentral's name for it is "partial 16S ribosomal RNA". It matches the Rfam family "Bacterial small subunit ribosomal RNA", at positions 338 to 795 of the family's 1533-position model. The record is from RNAcentral.
CCUACGUGAGGCAGCAGUGGGGAAUAUUGCACAAUGGGGGAAACCCUGAUGCAGCGACGCCGCGUGAGUGAAGAAGUAAUUCGUUAUGUAAAGCUCUAUCAGCAGGGAAGAAAAUGACGGUACCUGAGUAAGAAGCCCCGGCUAACUACGUGCCAGCAGCCGCGGUAAUACGUAGGGGGCAAGCGUUAUCUGGAUUUACUGGGUGUAAAGGGAGCGUAGACGGCAGUGCAAGCCUGGAGUGAAAGGCGGGGGCUCAACCCCCGGACUGCUCUGGAAACUGUACGGCUGGAGUGCAGGAGAGGUAAGUGGAAUUACUAGUGUAGCGGUGAAAUGCGUAGAUAUUAGGAAGAACAGCAGUGGCGAAGGCGGCUUACUGGACUGUAACUGACGUUGAGGCUCGAAAGCGUGGGGAGCAAACAGGAUUAGAUACCCUAGUAGUC